Molecule: long non-coding RNA, 520 nt
Filed under: Mus musculus (house mouse)
Lineage: Eukaryota; Metazoa; Chordata; Mammalia; Rodentia; Muridae
Description: predicted gene 4489 (Gm4489)
Source: RNAcentral
UCCGUCAUACCAUUAAGUUAAUUCCAGUUCCCCAGUCACUCCCAGCUACAGAGAAGUAGACUUCAUUUCAUCCCGAGAGCCAUGAAGCAUGUGGAGGAUAUGGAAACACUACAUCCUCUAACAUAAGCUGUGAGCAUCUGUGGGUUUAGUGUGGGGUCUUUUGGAGCCCAUCCCCAGCUGAUGUCAAGACACUGCAAGCUUCACUAUUGCCUGGAAUAUCCUGGUUCUUAAAAGACACUGAUGGCGGUGUUCCAGAGGAUACAUAACAUCAAUGCCAAUAAUGAUGGCGGUGUUACAGAGGACACAAGAUAUCUAUGGCUGACCCUGAUGGCGGUGUUCCAGCGACACAUGACGUCAAAGAGUCUAUGGUUCUUAUGACUGAUGAGAUGCACGAGGACGGACACGGAUUAUGUGAGGAGGAUGGACACGGAUCAUGUGAGGAGGAUGGACAAGGAUCACGUGAGGAGGAUGGACAAGGAUCAUGUGAGGAGGACGGACAAGGAUCAUGUGAGGAGGAUGG